Myotis davidii is the source of this 1599-nucleotide long non-coding RNA. RefSeq lists it as uncharacterized. The transcript is spliced from 2 exons. NCBI's taxonomy places the organism in Eukaryota, Metazoa, Chordata, Mammalia, Chiroptera, Vespertilionidae. The record is from RefSeq and is a predicted model, not a curated record.
UGUGCUGGGGGCUGGUUCCAGGGCACAGAGAUGAGCCCUCGUGCCCACCCCCCAAAACAGGAAUACUGUAGUGGAGUUGAGUGGCAGUCAGUUCAGCAACAGAGCUAGCCCAAGAAGUCAUAGGAAUAGAAUGAGGAAUGACUAGUGCAAGCUUCAGGGCUUGGGAAUUCCUGCAAUUUCCCCAGAAGACAUAGCUGGGCUCAAGCCAAGCCUUGAAGGAUAUGAAGGUGUGAAAUGAAACCUGGAAGGAGGAUUUGCGCAAGCAGGGCCCUGUGUGGCUCUACCCUUCUGUGAUAGACACUUUCGUACCCAACUCUUUUAUUCUGCAAGGAGGGCCUGGUUCCUAUUCCCCCAGUAUGGAUACUGUGGCUCAGGGAGGUGAUGACUUCAGAGGUGGCUCCCUGGGUGAUCUAGAAACUUGAAGGAUCAUGAGUAACCUCAAAUGGGUGAGGACCCAAUCUCUAGAGCAGAGUUACUCAACUGCAGCAUCAUUCAUAUUUGGGACUGGAUCAUUCUUUGCUGGGGGGUUGGGGGUCCCAUAAAUUUAGAAUAUUGAGCAGCAUUCCUGGCUUCCACCCACCAGAUGCCAAUAGCACCCACCCCUCAAAUUGUGACAACCAAAAAUGCCUCCAGACAUACUGUGUGUCCCUUGAGGGCAGAAUUGCCAACAGUAAGAGCCUCUGCUCUAUCGUAAAAUCUGGCUGCUGCCCCAGGCCCACCAUUGCCUCGGUGGAUCUUUGGAGUAAGUUGAGCUCCUUGCAAGCUGCUGUCAAGAGCAGGAGUGGGGAAAAGAGGUCAGCAAGCGAAUUCUGCCCUCCAGACAGUUCUUAAUCUGGAGACUCGAUAAAAAGGAGGCACCACUGGGAACGGACUGAGGGGGAGUUGGACAACACACAUCCAGAAUGGACAGCAGAGGAGGAACAGGAGAUGAGCGGGGGCUGUCUGCAUUCGCCCAGACAACCAUGCCAUUGUCUUUCCCUUCUUUGUCUUACCACUGACCUGGAUUUCUGCAGGAACCGUCCUUGCCUUGGCACAAGUUGUUGCUUUUCUUCUGAGAUUAGAGAUGCCAGUCCAUCUUUAAGACAAAAAAAAAUGUUAGACAAAUUGUCUAACUUUUGCGCCUAGUGCAUGCUUCUCCGCUUGUUCCCCAACUGUGACAUUGCUGCGGUAACUCCAUGAGAGGAAAUGCACGUUCUAGGGCCUUCCCGAGCCCUUGUGGGCGAUGUCCCUCCUCCCCUUCUUCCCCACCCACCAGCCCUUUGUAUGUCCCCAAGUCCCCAACCAACUGUGCCAGGCAGCCCCUGCUCGCCUCCCCACAGAGCAAGACAGGCCCUUCUCUCUGUCCUCCUGGAUAGAGGGAGUCGCAGAACAAAGGGUUCUGUCUGAGCACUGCCAGGGCCCUGAAGAGCCAGCCUGCUGCCGGCCACUGCACAGAGCCCCCUCACUUCACCUCUCCAGUUUUCAUUUUGUCCCAGAAAGGGCCUCAGAGAGUCGGCAUGUCUCAGAAACGCAGGGAUGAGUUUGGGUUCUACUCAUUUCCUCGUCGAGACUUUCUUUCCUCGGCGGAUCCCAAUGAUAAAUAAAGUGGUGAUUCAAGCA